Molecule: ribosomal RNA, 468 nt
Filed under: uncultured bacterium
Lineage: Bacteria
Description: partial 16S ribosomal RNA
Rfam family: Bacterial small subunit ribosomal RNA
Source: RNAcentral
GACGAACGCUAGCGGCGUGCUUAACACAUGCAAGUCGAACGGAAAGACCCUGCUUUUGUGGGGUGCUCGAGUGGCGAACGGGUGAGUAACACGUGAGUAACCUGCCCUUGACUUUGGGAUAACUUCAGGAAACUGGGGCUAAUACCGGAUAGGAGCUCCUGCUGCAUGGUGGGGGUUGGAAAGUUUCGGCGGUUGGGGAUGGACUCGCGGCUUAUCAGCUUGUUGGUGGGGUAGUGGCUUACCAAGGCUUUGACGGGUAGCCGGCCUGAGAGGGUGACCGGCCAAUUUGGGAUGGAGCUCGGCCCGAGCCUCCUGGGGGGGGAAGAGGGGGGAAAUAGUGCACAGGGGGGGGAGGCCUGACGCAGCACCGCCGGGGGGGGGGGGCGGGCCGUGGGUUUGAAAACCGCUUUCGCCGGUGAAGAAGGGGGGGUGAGGGAAGGGGGAAAAGAGGCCCCGGCAAACUACAGG